This 462-nucleotide ribosomal RNA is filed under the name uncultured bacterium. RNAcentral describes it as "partial 16S ribosomal RNA". It matches the Rfam family "Bacterial small subunit ribosomal RNA", at positions 28 to 507 of the family's 1533-position model. The record is from RNAcentral.
GACGAACGCUGGCGGCGUGCUUAACACAUGCAAGUCGAACGGAAAGGCCCUUCGGGGUACUCGAGUGGCGAACGGGUGAGUAACACGUGGGUGAUCUGCCCUGCACUUUGGGAUAAGCCUGGGAAACUGGGUCUAAUACCGAAUAGGACCACGCGCUUCAUGGUGUGUGGUGGAAAGCUUUUGCGGUGUGGGAUGGGCCCGCGGCCUAUCAGCUUGUUGGUGGGGUAAUGGCCUACCAAGGCGACGACGGGUAGCCGGCCUGAGAGGGUGACCGGCCACACUGGGACUGAGAUACGGCCCAGACUCCUACGGGAGGCAGCAGUGGGGAAUAUUGCACAAUGGGCGCAAGCCUGAUGCAGCGACGCCGCGUGAGGGAUGACGGCCUUCGGGUUGUAAAUCUCUUUCAAUAGGGACGAAGCGCAAGUGACGGUACCUAUAGAAGAAGCACCGGCCAACUACGUG